AAAAACGUCAGUAAUUUCACAUGAGGGGAGAUUCGAAUUUUAUAAAAAUUAAGUUGUGCCGUGUAAAUCGCGUCGCAAAAUACUUUUUAGAAAAUCAAAGAAAUCAAGUGGGAAUCUUGAUUAAGUGAAUUGGUGUUUGGUCAGGAUAAAGAGUCGUUCUGACAUCUCAAUAGUACUGACGUGUAAAUCACAUCGCAAGACAACUGUCACUUUCAGGUACCACGUGAUUUACAUGUCGCUGAGUUGCGACGUGAUUUUCACGACGGUGGCUCUGAUAUAUAAUUUGCAACGCUCUUCCUCCAUGCACAAAACUACACUUCAUCUUCACUCUUCAUCUCAGUCUCAUUCUCCGCUCCUUUAUUUCUCUCUUCCAAUCUCAUACUUAAUCCUUCUCUCUUUCAACCUUAAAUCUUAAACUUCAAUUUUCUAUCCAUCAUCCAAUUAGUUAAAAGGUUAUUAAGAGAUUCAUUCAAGAAAUUGCAUCUCUAUAAAAUAUAUUGUGUUGCUUCAUUAAGGUAUUUUGGCAAUUACUUUAGGGAAUAUAUCAUUUGAAAGAGUUGCAGAAGGAUUGUCACGUCCACAACAAAUGACACUCGAGAUAAUGAAAACAGUGCAACAAUUGUCGCUAACUGAGACGAGACGCGAUGCACAGAAUGUGAGGUGGCGAUAAAUGCCAGAAUGAAGGAAAUGAAGAAGAGACAAAUUCAGAUGGAAGAAAUAAUACGAUAAUUUCUCUCAUAACAAGGAAAUCAAACAAAUAAUCCAAUGGACAGUGAUGUGGAGAAAGCUAUGAUUGAUGAUGUUGAUUGAUUUUUUUAUUAUUA
Lathyrus oleraceus (garden pea) is the source of this 824-nucleotide long non-coding RNA. RefSeq lists it as uncharacterized. The record is from RefSeq and is a predicted model, not a curated record. NCBI's taxonomy places the organism in Eukaryota, Viridiplantae, Streptophyta, Magnoliopsida, Fabales, Fabaceae. The transcript has 2 exons.